Molecule: ribosomal RNA, 253 nt
Filed under: uncultured bacterium
Lineage: Bacteria
Description: partial 16S ribosomal RNA
Rfam family: Bacterial small subunit ribosomal RNA
Source: RNAcentral
UACGAAGGGGGCUAGCGUUGUUCGGAAUUACUGGGCGUAAAGCGCACGUAGGCGGAUCGACCAGUCAGGGGUGAAAUCCCAGGGCUUAACCCUGGAACUGCCUUUGAUACUGUCGAUCUGGAGUCCGGAAGAGGUGAGUGGAAUUCCGAGUGUAGAGGUGAAAUUCGUAGAUAUUCGGAGGAACACCAGUGGCGAAGGCGGCUCACUGGUCCGGUACUGACGCUGAGGUGCGAAAGCGUGGGGAGCAAACAGG